Molecule: small nucleolar RNA, 66 nt
Filed under: Echinops telfairi (small Madagascar hedgehog)
Lineage: Eukaryota; Metazoa; Chordata; Mammalia; Afrosoricida; Tenrecidae
Description: Small nucleolar RNA SNORD43 (ENSETEG00000023089.1)
Rfam family: Small nucleolar RNA SNORD43
About the family: U43 is a C/D box small nucleolar RNA that is encoded in intron 1 of the ribosomal protein L3 gene in human and cow.
Source: RNAcentral
CACAAGUGAUGAGCCUAUUGACGGGCGGACAGAGGACUCUGUGCUGAUUGUCAAUAUUCUGAUCUG